RNAcentral lists this ribosomal RNA (277 nucleotides) under Cyatholipus sp. CG271. RNAcentral describes it as "partial 12S ribosomal RNA". Lineage: Eukaryota; Metazoa; Arthropoda; Arachnida; Araneae; Cyatholipidae. The record is from RNAcentral.
CGGCAUUUCAUUUUAUUAGAGGAACCUGUCUAUUAAUCGAUAAUCCACGAUAUAAUUCACUUUUAUCUAAAUUUUAUAUACCUCCGUACCAGAACUAAUUUUAAAAUUCUAUUCUAAAUAUAUUUUAUAAAAAAAUAGGUAAAGGUGUAGACUAUAUAAAAGAUUAAAUGGGUUACAUUAAAAAAAAUUUAUAGUCAUAAAUAUAAAUAUUUAUAUAAAUAGGAUUUAUAAGUAAUAUAAUAAUAAUAAUCUAAUUUGAAAUAAAAUAAAAAUGUGC